Molecule: ribosomal RNA, 496 nt
Filed under: uncultured bacterium
Lineage: Bacteria
Description: partial 16S ribosomal RNA
Rfam family: Bacterial small subunit ribosomal RNA
Source: RNAcentral
GAUGAACGCUGGCGGCGUGCCUAAUACAUGCAAGUCGAGCGAACAGAUGAGGAGCUUGCUCCUCUGACGUUAGCGGCGGACGGGUGAGUAACACGUGGAUAACCUACCUAUAAGACUGGGAUAACUUCGGGAAACCGGAGCUAAUACCGGAUAAUAUAUUGAACCGCAUGGUUCAAUAGUGAAAGACGGUUUUGCUGUCACUUAUAGAUGGAUCCGCGCCGCAUUAGCUAGUUGGUAAGGUAACGGCUUACCAAGGCAACGAUGCGUAGCCGACCUGAGAGGGGAUCCGCCACCCCGGGACCGAGACAACGGCCAAGCUCCUACGGGAAGCAGCAGGGGGGAAUCUUCCAGAAUGGGGCGAAGCCCUAAGGAGCAAAGGCGGGUGGAGGGAGAAGGGCUUCGGGUUGGAAAACCCUUUUAUUAGGGAAGAAACAAAGGUGUAGAAAACCAGGCCCUUUUGACGGUACCUUAAGAAGAAGCCACGGCUAACUACGUG